Molecule: long non-coding RNA, 1304 nt
Organism: Oncorhynchus tshawytscha (Chinook salmon)
Lineage: Eukaryota; Metazoa; Chordata; Actinopteri; Salmoniformes; Salmonidae
Source: Ensembl
UUUUGUUGAAGAACCCCUUUCAUUCUCUGGGGUACCCGGAAACCUGGAGUACGUGGAGUAUACGCCCUCUGCCUGAGAUCAGUUUCAUGAAGAAGGAUGAAAAGAGGUGAUGACUACUCCGCUCCACUCCCUUUGUCUCCUCACAUGAACUGAAGCCACGUCUCAUGUGCCCACUCAUCCACUGGCACAUUGAAUGUUUCCCCUCCAAGCAUUUCAAAUCCUGUCCUACACUGGUCAAGCCUCUGAACACCUCAACUCAUGCGUCAUACCCUCAUUCAAUCACUGCUGUUAUCCCUUUCUCACACGGUCUGUAAGGCACUAGUUUUGGGCAGUCUGCAGGGAUGACCUAUGGACUUCUGCGGAUAAACUGACUAUCUCGAGGGACAAUCAAGGCGAAACAACAAGGUGGUGGACGGAAUUGCAGAAUCUCCACAUGAGACCUAGAUGGAAUCUGAGGACAAAGUGAGGUAAAUGAUCUCUGAGAAAUUGAAGAUGGACCACAGGAGAAUUGAGGUGGAACGUGCCCACAGGACUGGAAAACCCACCACCGGCCCAGGUGAUAGGCUCAGGCCGAUAGUGGUCAAGUUCCUGAGGUUCAAGGACAAGGUAGCUGUUCUGGAAAGAGCCAUGAACUUGAGAGGACUAUCCUGAAGCUCUGCGCCAGAAGAGGAAAGAACUGCUCCCAGCCAAUGAAAGCUGCCAGAGCGCGUGGGGAUAUUGCAUACAUCCGCUACGACAAGCUCAUUGUCCACCCUCCCUCCCAGAAGCCUGGAAGGGAUGAGAGAGCCACAAGCCUAUGGGUUCGUAGCCUCAACCCCGCAGCACACACACACACACACACACACCAAUUGAUUAAUGGACUGCUGAAUGUAUUUUUUCUCUUGCUUUGUCUGCUCUUUUUAAUAUUAUGUCUACCUCUGAUAAGCUACAAAGGAAAGGACUGAACAUAGCCCAUAUUAAUAUAUGUAGCCUUAAAAAUGAGGUUCAUGAAAUCAGUAACUUGCUAACAUCAGAUAACAUUCAUAUACCUAUUAGCCAUUUCUGAGACUCAGAUAAUUAAUUUGAUGAUACAUCAGUAGCAAUAGAAGGAUAUAACAUUUAUAGAAGAGACAGAAAUGCUUAUGGUGGAGGAGUUGCUUUAUAUAUUCAGAGCCAUAUCCCUGUCAUGCUUAGAGAAUAUCUUUUGUCAAGUGCUUUGAAGUGUUUUGGUUGCAGGUUCACUUGGCACAUCAAAAGCCUUUUCUUUUGGGGUGUUGCUUUUUAUAUAUUUUUUUAUAAAAAGGGGAUAAUAAAGAGUGAAAAUC